RNAcentral lists this ribosomal RNA (374 nucleotides) under uncultured bacterium. Its description in RNAcentral is "partial 16S ribosomal RNA". It matches the Rfam family "Bacterial small subunit ribosomal RNA", at positions 338 to 710 of the family's 1533-position model. The record is from RNAcentral.
CCUACGGGCGGCUGCAGUGAGGAAUAUUGGUCAAUGGGAGAGAUCCUGAACCAGCCAAGCCGCGUGAGGGAAGACGGCCCUAUGGGUUUUAAACCUCUUUUGUCGGAGAACAAAACCCGGGACGUGUCCCGGACUGCGUGUAUCCGAAGAAACAGCAUCGGCUAACUCCGUGCCAGCAGCCGCGGUAAUACGGAGGUGGCGAGCGUUAUCCGGAUUUAUUGGGUUUAAAGGGUGGGUAGGCGGUCCGUUAAGUCCGCGGUAAAAUUGCGGGGCUCAACCCCGUCGAGCCGUUGAAACUGGCAGACUUGAGGUGGCGAGAAGGCCGCGGAAUGCGAGGUGUAGCGGUGAAAUGCAUAGAGAUAGGGCAGAACUCC